Molecule: ribosomal RNA, 1332 nt
Filed under: uncultured bacterium
Lineage: Bacteria
Description: bacterial SSU rRNA
Rfam family: Bacterial small subunit ribosomal RNA
Source: RNAcentral
GACUAACGCUGGCGGCGCGCCUAACACAUGCAAGUCGAACGAGAGAUGAGGAGCUUGCUCUUCAAAUCGAGUGGCGAACGGGUGAGUAACGCGUGAGGAACCUGCCUCAAAGAGGGGGACAACAGUUGGAAACGACUGCUAAUACCGCAUAAGCCCACGGCUCGGCAUCGAGCAGAGGGAAAAGGAGCAAUCCGCUUUGAGAUGGCCUCGCGUCCGAUUAGCUAGUUGGUGAGGUAACGGCCCACCAAGGCGACGAUCGGUAGCCGGACUGAGAGGUUGAACGGCCACAUUGGGACUGAGACACGGCCCAGACUCCUACGGGAGGCAGCAGUGGGGAAUAUUGCACAAUGGGGGAAACCCUGAUGCAGCGACGCCGCGUGGAGGAAGAAGGUCUUCGGAUUGUAAACUCCUGUUGUUGAGGAAGAUAAUGACGGUACUCAACAAGGAAGUGACGGCUAACUACGUGCCAGCAGCCGCGGUAAAACGUAGGUCACAAGCGUUGUCCGGAAUUACUGGGUGUAAAGGGAGCGCAGGCGGGAGAACAAGUUGGAAGUGAAAUCCAUGGGCUCAACCCAUGAACUGCUUUCAAAACUGUUUUUCUUGAGUAGUGCAGAGGUAGGCGGAAUUCCCGGUGUAGCGGUGGAAUGCGUAGAUAUCGGGAGGAACACCAGUGGCGAAGGCGGCCUACUGGGCACCAACUGACGCUGAGGCUCGAAAGUGUGGGUAGCAAACAGGAUUAGAUACCCUGGUAGUCCACACCGUAAACGAUGAUUACUAGGUGUUGGAGGAUUGACCCCUUCAGUGCCGCAGUUAACACAAUAAGUAAUCCACCUGGGGAGUACGACCGCAAGGUUGAAACUCAAAGGAAUUGACGGGGGCCCGCACAAGCAGUGGAGUAUGUGGUUUAAUUCGACGCAACGCGAAGAACCUUACCAAGUCUUGACAUCCUGCGACGCACAUAGAAAUAUGUGUUUCCUUCGGGACGCAGAGACAGGUGGUGCAUGGUUGUCGUCAGCUCGUGUCGUGAGAUGUUGGGUUAAGUCCCGCAACGAGCGCAACCCUUAUGGUCAGUUACUACGCAAGAGGACUCUGGCCAGACUGCCGUUGACAAAACGGAGGAAGGUGGGGAUGACGUCAAAUCAUCAUGCCCUUUAUGACUUGGGCUACACACGUACUACAAUGGCGUUAAACAAAGAGAAGCAAGACCGCGAGGUGGAGCAAAACUCAGAAACAACGUCCCAGUUCGGACUGCAGGCUGCAACUCGCCUGCACGAAGUCGGAAUUGCUAGUAAUCGUGGAUCAGCAUGCCACGGUGAAUACGUUCCCGGGCCU